RNAcentral lists this ribosomal RNA (40 nucleotides) under Candida albicans. Its description in RNAcentral is "partial 28S ribosomal RNA". Lineage: Eukaryota; Fungi; Ascomycota; Pichiomycetes; Serinales; Debaryomycetaceae. The record is from RNAcentral. RNAcentral also lists the same sequence under 6 other names.
CUUUGACCUCAAAUCAGGUAGGACUACCCGCUGAACUUAA